AAACAUGCAGUCGAGCGGACAGAAGGGAGCUUGCUCCCGGAUGUUAGCGGCGGACGGGUGAGUAACACGUGGGUAACCUGCCUGUAAGACUGGGAUAACUCCGGGAAACCGGAGCUAAUACCGGAUAGUUCCUUGAACCGCAUGGUUCAAGGAUGAAAGACGGUUUCGGCUGUCACUUACAGAUGGACCCGCGGCGCAUUAGCUAGUUGGUGAGGUAACGGCUCACCAAGGCGACGAUGCGUAGCCGACCUGAGAGGGUGAUCGGCCACACUGGGACUGAGACACGGCCCAGACUCCUACGGGAGGCAGCAGUAGGGAAUCUUCCGCAAUGGACGAAAGUCUGACGGAGCAACGCCGCGUGAGUGAUGAAGGUUUUCGGAUCGUAAAGCUCUGUUGUUAGGGAAGAACAAGUGCAAGAGUAACUGCUUGCACCAUGACGGUACCUAACCAGAAAGCCACGGCUAACUACGUGCCAGCAGCCGCGGUAAUACGUAGGUGGCAAGCGUUGUCCGGAAUUAUUGGGCGUAAAGGGCUCGCAGGCGGUUUCUUAAGUCUGAUGUGAAAGCCCCCGGCUCAACCGGGGAGGGUCAUUGGAAACUGGGAAACUUGAGUGCAGAAGAGGAGAGUGGAAUUCCACGUGUAGCGGUGAAAUGCGUAGAGAUGUGGAGGAACACCAGUGGCGAAGGCGACUCUCUGGUCUGUAACUGACGCUGAGGAGCGAAAGCGUGGGGAGCGAACAGGAUUAGAUACCCUGGUAGUCCACGCCGUAGACGAUGAGUGCUAAGUGUUAGGGGGUUUCCGCCCCUUAGUGCUGCAGCUAACGCAUUAAGCACUCCGCCUGGGGAGUACGGUCGCAAGACUGAAACUCAAAGGAAUUGACGGGGGCCCGCACAAGCGGUGGAGCAUGUGGUUUAAUUCGAAGCAACGCGGAGAACCUUACCAGGUCUUGACAUCCUCUGACAACCCUAGAGAUAGGGCUUUCCCUUCCG
Molecule: ribosomal RNA, 989 nt
Filed under: uncultured Bacillus sp.
Lineage: Bacteria; Bacillati; Bacillota; Bacilli; Caryophanales; Bacillaceae
Description: bacterial SSU rRNA
Rfam family: Bacterial small subunit ribosomal RNA
Source: RNAcentral